Molecule: ribosomal RNA, 662 nt
Filed under: uncultured marine bacterium
Lineage: Bacteria
Description: bacterial SSU rRNA
Rfam family: Bacterial small subunit ribosomal RNA
Source: RNAcentral
UGGAGCAAACAGGAUUAGAUACCCUGGUAGUCCACGCCGUAAACGAUGUCAACUAGUUGUUCGUCUUAUAAACAAGGUGAGUAACGCAGCUAACGCACUAAGUUGACCGCCUGGGGAGUACGGCCGCAAGGUUAAAACUCAAAUGAAUUGACGGGGGCCCGCACAAGCGGUGGAGCAUGUGGUUUAAUUCGAUGCAACGCGAAGGACCUUACCAUCCCUUGACAUCCAGAGAAUUUUCUAGAGAUAGAUUAGUGCCUUCGGGAACUCUGAGACAGGUGCUGCAUGGCUGUCGUCAGCUCGUGUUGUGAGAUGUUGGGUUAAGUCCCGCAACGAGCGCAACCCUUAUCCUUAGUUGCCAGCACGUAAUGGUGGGAACUCUGGGGAGACUGCCGGUGAUAAACCGGAGGAAGGUGGGGACAACGUCAAGUCAUCAUGGCCCUUACGGGAUGGGCUACACACGUGCUACAAUGGCGCGUACAAUGGGAAGCUAACUCGCGAGAGUGUGCGGAUCUCAAAAAGCGCGUCGUAGUCCGGAUUGGAGUCUGCAACUCGACUCCAUGAAGUCGGAAUCGCUAGUAAUCGUGGAUCAGAAUGCCACGGUGAAUACGUUCCCGGGCCUUGUACACACCGCCCGUCACAUGGAGCAAACAGGAUUAGAUACA